UGCUGACAGCCACAAUGAUGCCGGGGAAGAAAUGAUCGGAAAUAAAACAUCCAUUCGAGACGGUGUAUAUUUGGUCGACAUCAUAUUCAUAAUGCCAAAUAGUCUUUAAUAACGCUUAUUCCAUUUUGAAAUUUUGACUGAAGAAGUGGGAGUUCUGCGCGGGCUCAUCAUUCGAACUAUAACGGUCAUCUACCACUGUAUGCUGAGGAAAAGGGAUAAGCAUUUCAACACAGCCACAUCACCAAAUGGCAUUACACACUGUCCUUCCUGUGUGUUUGGCUUUUUCAGAACCUACAGUUCAAGUCUCCUUGAUUAACUGACAGGACAACUCUAUGUAUUUCAUCAAAAUACCAAAGUGUUUUUACUCAUACUGCUGUUUAGUCAGUUCAUCAACAUUUGAUUGGUUUUUCUACAUCUGUGUUACUAUAUCUGUGUUGUUUUGUUCAAACUAAUUUGCCAUUUAUUUGAAAGGGACAGCUCACCCAAAAACUUAAAUUCAGUCACAUGCGACUCAUGGCUCCUAGAAGAUUUUGCACAUACUUUAUGUUCUGAGGUGAAUAUAUCUGUUGUUUUCUGCCCAUCAGAACAACAAAUCAAGUUCUUGCAUUAUUUUGGUCUGGAGAUCUUCACCUCAUAAAAGACAAUAGAUGAGUAAUACUUUUGAGUUUUCUGAGAGUCAUGUUUUGCAGUGUUUUAAACCUUGAAAUUUUUACAAUGUUCAUCUUUCCUUGGUGAGCUGAAGUGAAAUGUUGAGCAAAUAUAUUCUCACAAACGCAGUCCUCCACACCAGACCAACAGAAUUUUUCAAAUAAAAAUUUGUUAGAUUUUUCACCAUUUCUUAAUUUCCCCUUUUGUGGUAUCAAAAAGAAAGGCCAUAUGGCAUAAGACAUAAGACAUAAGAGUAAAUAAUGACUGAAUUUUCAAUUUUGGGUGACCUUUAGCUUGGCAUUAGCCUUUGUGAGAUUAUUUGUCAAAAACCUUUUUAAAUUAAAAAAAAAUAAAUAAAUAAAUUAUGGUUAAAAAAAUAAUUAAAUUGAACACUACUAUUUUUGGACACCAUGGAUUUGUUUGUGAUUUGUAUCUCUCUUUCAUUCAUUCAUUUAGGACAAGUCUGAUGAGUGGAGAUGUUGCUGUGGCCCUCUUUACAGACGAUACAAAUUUCAUUACCAACCUGUGAAAAUCUCAUGUCAUUAUGGAAAUGUGACUCAAGUUGUUAUAGCUCUAAAUACAACACAGUUACAAAAGAGAUGAAUAAAUAUUGUGUUAAUUGUACUUAAUAGUGCCUCUCGGUGUACUUUCAGGUUCUAUGAACUUCAUGCCAUGGGAACUGUGAUUGAGUAACUUUUUAUUUAUUUAUUUAUGAACAAAUCUGAAAUGGCACAUUCCCAGUUAUUAUAGAGAUAGUUCACUCAAAAUUAAAAUUCUGUAAUUAAUUACUCACCCUCAUGUCGUUCAAAACCCAUAAGAUCUUCAUUCAUCUUUGGAACACAAAAUAAGAUAUUUUUGAUGAAAUCCGAGAGCUUUCUGACCCUGCAUAGAUAGCAAUGCAACUGAAAUGUUUAAAAAUAUCUCAAUUUGUGUUCCGAAGAAGAACGAAGAUCUUACUAAGAUCUAUUUGGAACAACAUGAGGGUGAGUAAUUAAUGACAGAAUUUUCAUUUUUGGACAAACUAUCCCUUUAAGAUUUAUAUAAAUGCUUUAGACUGUAGUUAUUCUUUUUAAAUUCUUCAUAAUAUGAAUAGUGUAUAAGGAUUGCUUAAUAAAACGUAAUGGAAUUUUACUAUACAAUUGAGGUC
Onychostoma macrolepis is the source of this 1795-nucleotide long non-coding RNA. RefSeq lists it as uncharacterized. Lineage: Eukaryota; Metazoa; Chordata; Actinopteri; Cypriniformes; Cyprinidae. The transcript has 3 exons. The record is from RefSeq and is a predicted model, not a curated record.